RNAcentral lists this ribosomal RNA (351 nucleotides) under Triticum aestivum (bread wheat). RNAcentral's name for it is "partial small subunit ribosomal RNA". The record is from RNAcentral. Lineage: Eukaryota; Viridiplantae; Streptophyta; Magnoliopsida; Poales; Poaceae.
AUGGAAAUACUUACUCUACUUUGCUGCAUCACCCUUUCCUCUUCAAGGGAAAACCAACACAGUGCUCAAGAGGUAGCAAGAAGGAUUUCUGUCACCGUUGCCGGGGAGAUCUACGCACAAGUCAAGACAUACCAAGUACCCAUCACAAACUCUUAUCCCUUGCAUUACAUUAUGUGCCAUUUGCCUCUCGUUUUCCUCUCCCCCACUUCACCCUUGCCAUUUUAUUCAUCCUCUUUUUCCGUUCCCCUUCUCUUUUCUAGUUCGUCUAUUUUCUUUUUGCCUCUUGUGUGCUUGUGCGUUGGGUUGUUUGCCGUGAUGGCUUUACCAAAAUAUGUUGGAUCCUCACCUUAG